ACUCUAAUAAUUUAAACAAAAAUAAUGAUCUUGUAAAUCAUAAAUAAUACUUAGUAUA
Molecule: transfer RNA, 58 nt
Filed under: Macrocheraia grandis grandis
Lineage: Eukaryota; Metazoa; Arthropoda; Insecta; Hemiptera; Largidae
Description: tRNA-Thr
Source: RNAcentral